RNAcentral lists this ribosomal RNA (253 nucleotides) under uncultured bacterium. Its description in RNAcentral is "partial 16S ribosomal RNA". It matches the Rfam family "Bacterial small subunit ribosomal RNA", at positions 524 to 776 of the family's 1533-position model. The record is from RNAcentral.
UACGAAGGGGGCUAGCGUUGCUCGGAAUUACUGGGCGUAAGGCGCACGUAGGCGGCUCUUUAAGUCGGGGGUGAAAUCCUGGAGCUCAACUCCAGAACUGCCUUCGAUACUGAAGAGCUUGAGUCCGGGAGAGGUGAGUGGAACUGCGAGUGUAGAGGUGAAAUUCGUAGAUAUUCGCAAGAACACCAGUGGCGAAGGCGGCUCACUGGCCCGGUACUGACGCUGAGGUGCGAAAGCGUGGGGAGCAAACAGG